Molecule: RNA transcript, 4436 nt
Organism: Cylas formicarius (sweet potato weevil)
Lineage: Eukaryota; Metazoa; Arthropoda; Insecta; Coleoptera; Brentidae
Exons: 9
Source: RefSeq, a predicted model, not a curated record
UUUAACUACGCUGAAAAAAGUACUUUCCAACUAUAUUAAAUAAUUAUUCUCAUCUCCUAAUGAUAAAAACAUUAAAAACUAAAUAUGAAGCUGGUAAAAACCUUUUACAGUAUGUUACAACUUUACUGGAUAAAGUUAGGACAAAGAUUGUUGAUUCUGGUAUUCCAAAGUCUUUAUUGGAUGAGGCCUUAAAGUGUUGUAUGAACUAAGUCGGACUCCAAAUAGGGCGAUAGUUAGAGUAGUGGCACCCUCUACAAUUUGGCAUGGGUGAAAAUCUAAGCAAGCUUCAGCCUGGUAUAUUACUCUACCAAAGAAUAAUAGGUUAGAUGCUAAAUCAAAAACCAAAAAAAUAACAAUCAAAUCUUUAUGCCUAUAUGUGGCAAUUUAGAGAAUAUCACCAACAAAUGUAAAAUCAUGUUUAAUCCCCAUUUCUCAAAUUGGAAUCCUUUCAUACAGAGGCUUGAGAGAAAAAUGACAACACUGUAUAAUCAAACUAAUGUCUAGGCCGCUAGCUUGCUUUUUCCAGAGCACUAGUUAAAUCUUCUAGUUCUACAGGAAUAUUCUAAAAUAACAUUAACAUAAUUGAAAUUUAUUAAUACCUAUAUACUCGAUACUAAUAAUUUAUCUACCUUGAAGCAGAUCUAUUCUAUAAAUUCCCUCAAGUUCCUUUCUCUCUCAGACAUGCUUGCAACUCUUAAUAUUUCCGCCUUGUGGUUGGUCCUCCAAGUGUUUAUGAUUGUGUUGUCCCUUCCUGAUGCUUAACAUUUUGUUUCUGUACAUUUAAGAUAUUAUUUUCCAAUAACUGAAAAUUAAGAUACAGAAGAAAUUGCACAACAUUUAAAAAAAAAGCAAUUUGGCAAGAGAAGGAAAUUUACUUUGACAAUUAGACUGCCACAUUUUCGAAGUUAUUUAUAUUAUUGGAAAAGUAUCUGAUGAAAAUUACAAUGGAUACCACCUGGAAAUGCCAAUGUAUCAAAAUUUAUAAAAGAAAAGCACCAGAAGAAAAUACUAAAAAGAUAAAUAAGUUGGUCAGCAAAAGUUGUGCUUGUAGAAGAGAUUUUCAUGAAAAGAUAUUAAAAGGGAUUAGUGAAGUUCAACCACACACUAGUUCCAAGUGCAAAUGUAAGAUACAUUUUAAUAGGAGAAUGGUUAAAGAAAAGACUGGUAAACAGAUUAUCAAUUUGAAGUGCAAAUGUCUUAAAAUUUUUAAAGGAAACAUACCAGAGAAACAUAUAAAAAAGAAAAGUAAGUUUGUCAGCAAAAGUUGUACUUGUAGAAGAGAUGUUCAUGAAAAGAGAUUUGGAGGGAUUAGUGAAGUUCAACCACACACUAGUCACAAGGGCAAAUGUAAGAUAAAUUUUAAUUGGAGAAUGGUUAAAGAAAAUACUGGGAAAGAUAAGUUUGUCGGCAGAAAGUGUGUUUGCAGAAGAGAGCGGAAGGGAUUACAGUCAAAUGUGAUGUGUUUCAAAUAUAAUUUAAUAUUUGCUUAAUAGUUGAAUUUGGCAUUAUAAUUUUUUUUUUAAAUAUCUUCACAAUUACGUAACUGGGUCUCUAUGUUUAUUUCGUUUAUAUUUUAUAAUUUUUACCAAAGAAAACUAACUUUAUAUUUAUUUUUACCCAAGUGGCUUUUAUGGGCCUUGAAUAUAUAAUUCACAUAAUAAAAUUGUUUUUUAAUUUUUAUAUAAAAGUUAAUUUAAAACGGUUGAAGCCAAAAUACGGAAAGCGCCGAAUGAUCAGUGGCCGCGGAAAUUUUUAAAACAAACCUUAACAUAUAAACUAUUUUUCACCUCCCUAUAUAUCAAAAUAUAAGAACCUUUCUUCCUUUCUACUAUCUAUCAAAAAAAUAUUUGUUUGCACUCCCGUACAAGAGUUGCUAUUGAGGGAAACUAAAAAACUGAAAAUAUUUUUUCCUACAUUAAUUGAAAUUUACACACUUUCACUUAUCGAGGAUAAUAUCUAUCAAGUGGAUAAUUUUUGUUUCCAGCAGAAAUAUUUGCUUAGACUCCCGUACGACGGUUAGGAUUUAGAUUUUAUUGUAUGUGGCCAAUGUCUGGGCCUUCCUAUUCCUUCCUGCAUCAAAUUUAUCCCUCGUACAAAGGGAGGGGUAUACUUUGUGAACCUCAGGUUUGGAGAUUUCGGUCCCUAAUUUUAAGGACCUGUUUCUUCCUACUGCCUUUUCUUCGGAGUCGUAAUUUUCGUUUCCAGCAUAAAUAUUCGCUUCCACUUCUGUACGAGAGUAGAGUUGUAAACGUAGUAAAACUAAAAAAUUGAAAAAAAAAUUAAUUUGUUUAUUUUUACGCAUUUUCAAAUCUUGGUAAAACUAGAUCAAGAAAGUUAUACUGUGCCAUCAGGCAACCGAUGCUACCAGGGAAAUUCCAUGGUUCGCGCGGGACUCUGUUCUAUGGUAGCCGUGGUAGUAGAAGGUCACGGAAAUAAAGGUGUUAAAAAAACGUAUAUUCAGCGUAUGUUAUUUUAAAAUGUUAUAGACAAUAACAUGACAUAUACCAAAAUUGUCUUGAAACAAUUUAGUAUGGAAAAGAUCAAACCAGUUACAAUACCUACGAAGAAAAACAGGUAGGUCAUAACAAAAGAAACUGUGAUGCUGUGGAAAGCAUGAUCUAUUUACCAAACAAAACAUACCAUAUAAUCAGGCCAUACUAAAUUUAAAUAGAAUUGUAAAAUAUUUAGCAAAAACCAAAACAAAAUAUCCAUUUUAUAAAGGAAAAAGUUAGGAAAGGAUUGUAGGAAAGUAGAGAAUUUAAUUUCGGAAAACAGUACAGCAGAUGUUUAUACUAACUUUAAACUCUAACUUUAAACAGUAAAAAUUUUUAAACAUCGGAAUAUGUUGGUAAAGUAAUUUAAGGUAAUAAUUUCAAAAAUUGUAAUUUUUAAUAAUUAUUCGAACACGGUGAUGGGUAGUAAUGAACUUAUAGAAGUUUUUAGCCUCUGUAGUUAAUUAUUUUAAGUUCAACAAAAAUGUAAGUAAAUUUGUAAAAACCCAUCACAUACGAUAAACAAAAAUAAAAUUCUUAAAGUUAAUAUAAAAAUUAUUAUACUUAUAGAAAGAAAAGCAGCCUAAUCUUAUUAAAGAUGGCAAAAUUAACUUCAUAUUCCACAUAUUUCUGACGCGACACAAAAGUGUGAAACAUGCAAUUUUUUGAUAAAAUUGUUUUUUUAGACACCGUCGGCGUUGCAAAAAUUACAAGUGCCUGGUCUUACUGAGGAGAGCAAGGUACUCGCGGGAGGCGAGCCUGACCGACGAUGUUACGCGGAGCGAGACUAUUAUGUCACCGUGGCCGCGCAUAAUCUAUAUAAAUAUCUCUCUCGCUGUUUGUUUUUGUUCGCAGCGAGACAAUUGGGUCGUCCAGGUCGCAUAUAAUUAAAUUAUUAAAGAUAACCCGCAAACGUCAAUAAUUUUUUAAGAUAGAAACUAUAGUUUAUUUACGGCACGUCGCAAAUACGCCGCUUACGCGAGCAAUAUGCGAGGAAGUAUUGUCUGCAGGCACAUCCGUUAAACUGAUAAGAGGAAAGCUCGCCUUUAUUGGUAUCUGCUCAUAUAUUCAGAGGGGCGGAAAAAAUAAGCAAUAGGCAUAGUACAUUUUAUUGACUAAGACGUACAUAGCUGAAAAAAUCUAAAGCAUUGAAGAAAUCUAAUGAGGUAAGGUCUCGGGCGCUUGGCUUCGUCAGCAGCAAUAGGGACGGCGGCGGGUCUUUUCGGGUCUUUGGUAUUGGUCUUAAAGGGUGGCACCCCUGCGUCCUAGCACUUAGGAAACCACAUGGGUCCGUUGUGCCCUCAGACCGCGCUAGAAGGCGUCCAGAAUACCGAUCCUUCUAUAGGUCAACAACUCCUUUAGCCCAAUACCGUGCACUGAGUCCGGAUCGAUCAGAAGACUCCAAAUCCUGCCCAUGCCAAAACAGGUCCCUCGGUGAGCGGAUGAUACGGGGUCUCCUCCAUUGGACACCUCAUAUUUCUCGCGUUGAUGACGUCGUAUAUCCCACCGCAUACGUCACAAUGCCCGUGCCUCGCGAGCUGGUCUUUUCGGCUGAACUAGCGGUUGCAAUAUUCGCAGGCGAACAUUAUUUUUUUGCCUCUCACUCCCGAACUGUUCUAGUAUCACUUAACACUUACUAUUUUUAUGCGGUGAAAACAAAAAAAUCCAAAGAAUGAAGACUGACUGUGGCGGUGGUCACAUGUUAAUAACGUUAUUUCCUUCUCCGAUAACGAAGUUAAAAUAAUGCAAACUUUCGAGUACGUUCCUUCCUUCCGGUUAAUUAAGAUUUUCUCCGGAAAUGCUUAUCAUUACUGGGUCAUAUCUGUUUCGGAUCUGUCGAAACCUUUUAGACGUUUUGAACAUGUUCGAGAGCUGUUCCGCAGUUAUUUUUAGACAUAAUUUAGAUCUGACCAAAAGCGUCCUCUCAAAUAUUUGAAAUAAAAU